This 503-nucleotide ribosomal RNA is filed under the name uncultured bacterium. Its description in RNAcentral is "bacterial SSU rRNA". It matches the Rfam family "Bacterial small subunit ribosomal RNA", at positions 895 to 1399 of the family's 1533-position model. The record is from RNAcentral.
UGAAACUCAAAGGAAUUGACGGGGGCCCGCACAAGCGGUGGAGCAUGUGGUUUAUUUCGAAGCAACGCGAAGAACCUUACCAGGUCUUGACAUCCAGUGCAAACCUAAGAGAUUAGGUGUUCCCUUCGGGGACGCUGAGACAGGUGGUGCAUGGCUGUCGUCAGCUCGUGUCGUGAGAUGUUGGGUUAAGUCCCGCAACGAGCGCAACCCUUGUCAUUAGUUGCCAUCAUUAAGUUGGGCACUCUAAUGAGACUGCCGGUGACAAACCGGAGGAAGGUGGGGAUGACGUCAAGUCAUCAUGCCCCUUAUGACCUGGGCUACACACGUGCUACAAUGGACGGUACAACGAGAAGCGAACCUGCGAAGGCAAGCGGAUCUCUUAAAGCCGUUCUCAGUUCGGACUGUAGGCUGCAACUCGCCUACACGAAGCUGGAAUCGCUAGUAAUCGCGGAUCAGCACGCCGCGGUGAAUACGUUCCCGGGCCUUGCACACACCGCCCGUCA